AGCAGCCGCGGUAAUUCCAGCUCCAAUAGCGUAUAUUAAAGUUGUUGCAGUUAAAAAGCUCGUAGUUGAAUUUCGGGGUUAGUAGGUUGGUCAUGCCUCUGGUAUGUACUGAUCUCACUGAUUCCUCCCUCUUGACGAACUGUAAUGUCAUUAAUUUGGUGUUGCAGGAAAUCAGGACUGUUACUUUGAAAAAAUUAGAGUGUUUAAAGCAGGCUUAGGCUUGAAUACAUUAGCAUGGAAUAAUGAAAUAGGACGUUUGAACCUAUUUUGUUGGUUUCUAGGAUCGACGUAAUGAUUAAUAGGGAUAGUUGGGGGCAUUAGUAUUCAAUUGUCAGAGGUGAAAUUCUUGGAUUUAUUGAAGACUAACUACUGCGAAAGCAUUUGCCAAGGAUGUUUUCAUUAAUCAAGAACGAAAGUUAGGGGAUCGAAGACGAUCAGAUACCGUCGUAGUCUUAACCAUAAACUAUGCCGACUAGGGAUCGGAUGAUGUUAAUUUUUAAUGACUCAUUCGGCGCCUUAC
This 520-nucleotide ribosomal RNA is filed under the name uncultured Glomus. RNAcentral describes it as "SSU rRNA". It matches the Rfam family "Eukaryotic small subunit ribosomal RNA", at positions 569 to 1091 of the family's 1831-position model. The record is from RNAcentral. Lineage: Eukaryota; Fungi; Glomeromycota; Glomeromycetes; Glomerales; Glomeraceae.